Molecule: long non-coding RNA, 520 nt
Organism: Mastomys coucha (southern multimammate mouse)
Lineage: Eukaryota; Metazoa; Chordata; Mammalia; Rodentia; Muridae
Exons: 3
Source: RefSeq, a predicted model, not a curated record
CCUGCCGCUCUCCAGGAAAAAGUGGUGGGUGGGGUUUUUCCUCUGGCGCCCCCUGGCGGUAGGAGGCGUGCAGUGAGACAUUUGCUCUGCCCUGAGGUUCCUGAUUCCUGCCACAGGGCCCCCAUCAUUCCCCCCUGCUGUUGUGAUAGAGGAGAAAGGAUUUAUUUUAGCUCACAGUUCCAGUCAUAUCCCACCCCAGCAAAGGUGGCAGGGCUUUACAGCAGCUACUCACAGGACGUCCACAGCCAAGAGCAGAGAGGUGGAUGCAUGCUUACUGCUCAACUCCGGUUCCCCAGACCCAGGGAAUGGUGCCACCCACGGUGGGCGUGUCAAUGUCAUCAAGACAAUCCCUACACACCAACCUGAUCUAGACGAUGCCAUGUGGAGACUCUCUUGCUAGUGAUUCUAGAGACCCACAUGAUGGAAGACAAGACCUGACUCCUACAAGUUUACUUCUGACAUUCUGACAUUCACAGAAGUGUGAGCCAAACCCUCUACAAGUAAAUAAGUGUAAUAAAAA